GGACCCCCAUGAUGUCCAGCACUGGGCUCUGAUCUCUGUUGAGGACACAGUGCCCCCCGGGACCUUUGACACCCGGGGGUCUGAGUGGGGGGGUCC
Molecule: small nucleolar RNA, 96 nt
Filed under: Phocoena sinus (vaquita)
Lineage: Eukaryota; Metazoa; Chordata; Mammalia; Artiodactyla; Phocoenidae
Source: RNAcentral